UCGGCCGAUACACAGUCGGUGGCUAAGCGAAAGUGAUAAGUAAUCCACCUGGGAGUACGAUCGCAAGGUUGAAACUCAAAGGAAUUGACGGGGGCCCCGCACAAGCGGAGGAGCAUGUGGUUUAAUUCGAUGAUACGCGAGGAACCUUACCUGGGCUUAAAUGUAGAGUGCAUGAGUGGGAAACCAUUCUUUCCUUCGGGACUCUUUACAAGGUGCUGCAUGGUUGUCGUCAGCUCGUNGCCGUGAGGUGUCGGGUUAAGUCCCAUAACGAGCGCAACCCCUACCUUUAGUUGCCAUCAGGUAAUGCUGGGGACUCUAGAGGAACUGCCUACGCAAGUAGCGAGGAAGGUGGGGAUGACGUCAAAUCAGCACGGCCCUUACGUCCAGGGCUACACACGUGCUACAAUGGUCGGUACAGAGGGCAGCUACCACGCGAGUGGAUGCAAAUCUCCAAAGCCGAUCUCAGUUCGGAUCGAAGUCUGAAACUCGACUUCGUGAAGUUGGAUUCGCUAGUAAUCGCGCAUCAGCCAUGGCGCGGUGAAUACGUUCCCGGGCCUUGUACACACCGCCCGUCAAGCCAUGGAAGCUUGGGGUACCUAAAGUUCGUAACCGUAAGGAGCGACCUAGGGUAAAACGGAGU
Molecule: ribosomal RNA, 640 nt
Filed under: uncultured bacterium
Lineage: Bacteria
Description: bacterial SSU rRNA
Rfam family: Bacterial small subunit ribosomal RNA
Source: RNAcentral